AGUGAACGCUGGCGGUAGGCCUAACACAUGCAAGUCGAACGGCAGCACAGUAAGAGCUUGCUCUUACGGGUGGCGAGUGGCGGACGGGUGAGGAAUACAUCGGAAUCUACUUUUUCGUGGGGGAUAACGUAGGGAAACUUACGCUAAUACAGCAUACGACCUACGGGUGAAAGCAGGGGAUCUUCGGACCUUGCGCGAUUGAAUGAGCCGAUGUCGGAUUAGCUAGUUGGCGGGGUAAAGGCCCACCAAGGCGACGAUCCGUAGCUGGUCUGAGAGGAUGAUCAGCCACACUGGAACUGAGACACGGUCCAGACUCCUACGGGAGGCAGCAGUGGGGAAUAUUGGACAAUGGGCGCAGGCCUGAUCCAGCCAUACCGCGUGGGUGAAGAAGGCCUUCGGGUUGUAAAGCCCUUUUGUUGGGAAAGAAAAGCAGCAGGUUAAUACCCCGCUGUUCUGACGGUACCCAAAGAAUAAGCACCGGCUAACUUCGUG
RNAcentral lists this ribosomal RNA (492 nucleotides) under uncultured bacterium. RNAcentral's name for it is "partial 16S ribosomal RNA". It matches the Rfam family "Bacterial small subunit ribosomal RNA", at positions 29 to 507 of the family's 1533-position model. The record is from RNAcentral.